Molecule: long non-coding RNA, 1827 nt
Filed under: Salmo salar (Atlantic salmon)
Lineage: Eukaryota; Metazoa; Chordata; Actinopteri; Salmoniformes; Salmonidae
Description: lncRNA (ENSSSAG00000085101.1)
Source: RNAcentral
GGCUUUUUUAUGGCGGUUUUGGAGCAGUGGCUUCUUCCUUGCUGAGUAGGCUUUCAGGUUAUGUCGAUAUAGGACUCAUUUUACUGUGGAUAUAGAUACUUUUGUACCUGUUUCCUCCAGCAUCUUCACAAGGUCCUUUGCUGUUGUUCUGUGAUUGAUUUGCUUGCACUUUUCGCACCGAAGUACAUUCAUCUCUAGGAGACAGAACGCGUCUCCUUCCUGAGCGGUAUGAUGGCUGCGUGGUCCCAAGGUGUUUAUACUUGCGUACUAUUGUUUGUACAGAUGAACGUGGUACCUUCAGGCAUUUGGAAAUUGCUCCCAAGGAUGAACCAGACUUGUGGAGGUCUUUUGUGGAGGUCUUGGCUGAUUUCUUUUGAUUUUCCCAUGAUGUCAAGCAAAGAGGCACUGAGUUUGAAGUGUGUUAAUCAUAGAGCCAGGCCUGUCAGCUGAACUGUGGGAGCAUUACAUCUACUGAGGAUAGGGAGGCUGAGAGGAACAAGUCCUGACGCAGGGUAUAGGCUUCUGCAGACCAAUAACACUGCUGAGCCCCCACACAGUCCGAUGAGUAGCUAACCUGAGUGGGUGUGUGUGUGUGUGUGUGUGUGUGUGUGUGUGUGUGUGUGUGUGUCUGUUUGUGUCUUUGACCCAACCCAUCACUUAAACAGCCACAUAUCACAAUUCACAUCACGAAUGCCACUCAAAAUACGUCCCCAUGAGCUGUGAUAUUCCAAUCGCAUCCCUAAAACCAACGUCCUCCAAAUUAACACCACUAACCCCUUCUCUGUACCCCUCUCACCCUUGGUGUCGGUUGUGUGCAACUCAAACGCUCAAAUAAACUUUUGAGGGAGUGUUGCGCACCACGGCGGUUGAUGUUGGAGGAGUUAUUACGUGUCCUGGCAGAGGGAGAGGCGGAAACAGCCUGGACUGACUGGGCUGACCUGGGCCAGAGUGUUUAUAGAGGCCAGAUCACACUGCCUCGCUGUGCGACACCUCUCUUUUCUCUCUCUCCCUCUGUCUCGCUCUCUCCCUCUCUCUCUUUAACUGUGAGUGUCUCUCUUUCUGUUUCUCUCACUCUCCCCCUCUCUCUCUCCCCCUCCCCCCGCUCUCUUUCACCUUUCUCACCCCUCUCUUCCAUCCAGGCCAUUCACACAGGCGCCCUGCCUCACCUCACCCAGCCAGGACACACCACAGUGAAAACCCACAGCUCCAAAUGCUCGCUGGCAGCCAUACUCGGGUCUUUACAAGCAGUAUGCUAUGCUCUACAGAGCUGAGGAGAAAAAUAAUCACGUACUCUGAGUACUACAGGGAAACGGGGAGAAAGGAGUCAAGAAAAUACCCAGUGAACAGUGACGACCAAGAGGUACAUCAGGAAGGGAGCUCUGUUCACCCUCAGUCCUCUUCGACAGUAAUGUCCGAAAGUUACGUUGUCUGCGUCACGGUGAAGUUACUGAUGAGCCGUAGGAGUAAAGCUGCUAUGGAUUUGAGUUAAUUCCAGUGCUUCUGGAGCCCACAUCCUUGAAAAGUCUGACUUAAUGGGGUGCAGCUCAUCCAUGUACUCUAUGUAACCACACCUCCAGUAGAGCUGUAAUGGAGCACAGACUGUCUGUGGUGUGUUACCAUACCUCUAAAGGAGCCAAAAUGAGGUACAACUUAGGGGCUGUACUGUAUAACCACACCUCCAAUUGUCGUAAUGGGGAGCGCUGCAGCUGAACUGUAAUUGGGGACAGCAGGCUUGAGAAUAAUCAUAACGGGGGACAGCCCUGAUCUGUACUCCUUAAAUCCUGCACUGUAAAUCCCAAGCUGCUAAACAGUCCUGCUUUGAAGGGG